UACGGAGGAUCCAAGCGUUAUCCGGAUUCAUUGGGUUUAAAGGGUGCGUAGGCGGAAUGAUAAGUCAGUGGUGAAAUCCUGCAGCUUAACUGCAGAACUGCCAUUGAUACUGUCAAUCUUGAGUACAUUUGAUGAGGGCGGAAUGUGUCAUGUAGCGGUGAAAUGCUUAGAUAUGACACAGAACACCGAUUGCGAAGGCAGCUCUCAAAACUGUAACUGACGCUGAGGCACGAAAGCGUGUGUAUCAAACAGG
This 253-nucleotide ribosomal RNA is filed under the name uncultured bacterium. RNAcentral describes it as "partial 16S ribosomal RNA". It matches the Rfam family "Bacterial small subunit ribosomal RNA", at positions 524 to 776 of the family's 1533-position model. The record is from RNAcentral.